Molecule: long non-coding RNA, 207 nt
Filed under: Hordeum vulgare
Lineage: Eukaryota; Viridiplantae; Streptophyta; Magnoliopsida; Poales; Poaceae
Description: long non-coding RNA (HVUL_LNC016841)
Source: RNAcentral
GGCCCAUGCACUUAUUGACAAUGGUAUAUAAUGACUAGGAACACCUAAACAAUGAAUUCAAAAGACAAAAUUGCUAGUGCCAUGAGAAUGUUGGAAAUCUGAGCAAUUUACCAAAGGAUUUUAUUAAAAGAAAAGCUAGGAAAAACAUAAUCAUCAUAACUAAGACGGAAGAAGGCAUGCUAUAUACAGAUGAAAAUACAAAAGACA